This 99-nucleotide non-coding RNA is filed under the name Bdellovibrio bacteriovorus. Its description in RNAcentral is "TPP sequence". It matches the Rfam family "TPP riboswitch aptamer (THI element)". From Rfam's summary of the family: Vitamin B(1) in its active form thiamin pyrophosphate (TPP) is an essential coenzyme that is synthesised by coupling of pyrimidine and thiazole moieties in bacteria. The previously detected thiamin-regulatory element, thi box was extended, resulting in a new, highly conserved RNA secondary structure, the THI element, which is widely distributed in eubacteria and also occurs in some archaea. The record is from Rfam by way of RNAcentral. Lineage: Bacteria; Pseudomonadati; Bdellovibrionota; Bdellovibrionia; Bdellovibrionales; Pseudobdellovibrionaceae.
CAAACCAACUAGGGGUGUUCUGCGUGGGUGCAGGACUGAGAGAGUCCCUUUGAACCUGAAAGAGAUAAUGCUCGCGCAGGGAAGUGGUAUGAAAAUCGA